Molecule: long non-coding RNA, 1711 nt
Organism: Aethalodelphis obliquidens (Pacific white-sided dolphin)
Lineage: Eukaryota; Metazoa; Chordata; Mammalia; Artiodactyla; Delphinidae
Exons: 3
Source: RefSeq, a predicted model, not a curated record
GACUGUCAACAACCUGAAGGGGCCUGGAAGCAGACUUUCUUCUAGAACCUCCAGAUCAGAGUCCAGGCCACAGACACCGUGAUUUUAGCUUGGUGAGACUGUAAGCCCAGAACCCAGCUGAACUUGCCAGGACUUCUGAGCUAAGAAACUAUAAGAUUAUGAAUGGGAGUUUUUUAAGGAGAGGAAACAUUGUUUUAAGCUGCUAAGUUUGUGGCAGUUUGUUGAAAGGACUUUGGGGAUCAUUUGACCCUGAGGAAAGAGGUUGCAUCUCAAGCCAAGUCCAAUCUCAAUUCGCACGGCUACCAGGAGUGCCCUGCGGAGAAGAAUUGUGAGGCCAAGCCUGGAUUCGAGGAAGGCGGAAACAAACUACAACCCUGGCAUGAAAUGAGAAGGCUUCAGUCCAUGGAGAACACCAAAAGGAACUCAGAGACACAUGGUGAAAGUCAGUGGACACAGCAGAGAAGAAGCAAGCAACUCACAGACCCUGGGGAACUCCCCACGCCACCAUGUUUAUUGUUACACACGGGGUGGCAGGCCUCACCAGGCAAUACAGAGGCUCCUCUUGGAAUCUUACAAGGGCCCUGGCAAUGGCCAUUUCUUACUCAGGGAGUUGUCUGAUAUUUGGUUUCUUCUGGAAAGCCUGUGAUUAUGACUGAACAAACUCAAAAGCAGCCUCUGGAAAAAGCUGUCUGAAUUCUCUCUCCAAAUAGUUGUUUCUGUAACGAGAUAGAUCCCAGACCCAUCUGUGUGCUCCGGAAGGCUCCUUCCUCUUGCUGGCUUCUUCGGGUUCUGCUUAAUGGACUUCUGAUUAUAGCAGUCCCAGAGUGAGCCCGGCUUAUAUAUGAGGAAAGGAAAUCAGCAGGGAACACUCACCUUAUGAUGCAUAGAGAAUGAGCUUCUCGCUGGAAAUGCAAAUUUUGAAGGAUGCAAAUCUCACUUCUGAAUACAUAAUGGUCCCUAAUUAGCUCACAGGUAAUUAGUGCAAUUACCAAGGGCCAGCACACUCUUAAAGCUGUGUGCCUAGGGUAUUUUUCCCUAGGGAAAAUAAACUCAAAUGGUUAAAAUUCCCUUUCAGCAAAGAUUAUGUUUUUCCACACAUUAACACUGAACCAGUCUUGGUUGUAUGUGGUCAUAAACGUUCCUGUUUACAGCCUUCUUUGUAAGUCAUUGCCAGCAGGAUCUUAGCUCCACCCUUAGUUCAAUAAUGAAUGAAGCCAGUCUGACAAAGACAUAGAGAUGUAGGGGAGCAAAAUUUGCCACACCAAAAUGCCUCUUUGGCAUGGGAUGAUUUGGAGCUGAAAACAAUCAAGGCCAAAAAGACUCAGGAAGAAAAUUUGACCUUCUCCCUCACUGCCUAAAAGAGGACCUGUUCCAGAAGGGAGCUGUCACCACAGGUAACCGUAGUGUGAACAAGGUGUGGUAGACAGGGAGGGACCUAGCAAAGUCUGUUUCUUAAAAUCCCUCUCUGUGUCCCACUGUCUCUGCUGGUGCAGCAAACAUUUGUUUACCAAACACUUGCUUUUCAAUCUCCUGGUCAAUUGCUUUCCUCCCCUUUGAAGUCACAAACCACUACCCCCAACAUCCUCUUUUGUCUUUUGCUGAAGAUGGUAUUUAAAAUGGGGACUUGGCCAUUUUAGCGAGCUGCUCAGCUUUCCUGGAUCUUUCCCAUGUAUACAUGUUAUUAAACUUUCAUUUGAUUUUUUCUUGUUAA